RNAcentral lists this ribosomal RNA (445 nucleotides) under uncultured bacterium. Its description in RNAcentral is "partial 16S ribosomal RNA". It matches the Rfam family "Bacterial small subunit ribosomal RNA", at positions 354 to 796 of the family's 1533-position model. The record is from RNAcentral.
GUGAGGAAUAUUGGUCAAUGGGCGCAAGCCUGAACCAGCCAUGCCGCGUGCAGGAAGACGGUCCUAUGGAUUGUAAACUGCUUUUAUUUGGGAAUAAACUCCGGUACGUGUACCGGCCUGAAGGUACCAAAUGAAUAAGCACCGGCUAACUCCGUGCCAGCAGCCGCGGUAAUACGGAGGGUGCAAGCGUUAUCCGGAAUCAUUGGGUUUAAAGGGUCCGCAGGCGGUCUUAUAAGUCAGGGGUGAAAGCCUACAGCUCAACUGUAGAACUGCCAUUGAUACUGUAGGACUUGAAUUCGAUCGAAGUGGGCGGAAUGUGACAUGUAGCGGUGAAAUGCUUAGAUAUGUCACAGAACACCGAUAGCGAAGGCAGCUCACUAGGUCUGGAUUGACGCUCAGGGACGAAAGCGUGGGGAGCAAACAGGAUUAGAUACCCGUGUAGUCC